AUGAAAGAGGAAUUUAGGGUUAAGAUGUGGCUCCUCAUCUUCUCAAUUGUCUUCGCCGUGAACAACGAACACCCGCCGCCGUUUAACUCCGCUCGGCCUCUCUCAAUCUCUCACCUUCGCCCAGACUUCUCCUUCCAUCGCCCGCUUCUGAUUUCCCCCUUCAAACGAUUCGGUAUACCAACAAGAUUUCCUCAUCUCUAUCACAACCUUCGCCUUCAUCCAUCGCGGUCUCGUUCGCGAUUCAAUCCUCUGUAA
Molecule: non-coding RNA, 255 nt
Organism: Vicia faba (fava bean)
Lineage: Eukaryota; Viridiplantae; Streptophyta; Magnoliopsida; Fabales; Fabaceae
Source: the annotation of a GenBank genome assembly